Molecule: non-coding RNA, 72 nt
Organism: Saxophila tyrrhenica
Lineage: Eukaryota; Fungi; Ascomycota; Dothideomycetes; Mycosphaerellales; Extremaceae
Source: the annotation of a RefSeq genome assembly
GGCCGUGUGGCCCAAUGGCAAGGCGCUUGACUACGAAUCAAGAGAUUCCAGGUUCGACCCCUGGCACGGUCA